This 301-nucleotide ribosomal RNA is filed under the name uncultured bacterium. RNAcentral's name for it is "partial 16S ribosomal RNA". It matches the Rfam family "Archaeal small subunit ribosomal RNA", at positions 459 to 760 of the family's 1478-position model. The record is from RNAcentral.
CAGUCGCCGCGGUAACACCAGCACCUCGAGUGGUCAGGAGGUUUAUUGGGCCUAAAGCAUCCGUAGCCGGUUGCAUAAGUUUUCGGUUAAAUCUAUGCGCUUAACGUAUAGGCCGCCGAAAAUACUGUGCAGCUAGGGAGUGGGAGAGGUACACGGUACUCGAUAGGAAGGGGUAAAAUCCUUUGAUCUAUUGAUGACCACCUGUGGCGAAGGCGGUGUACCAGAACACGUUCGACGGUGAGGGAUGAAAGCUGGGGGAGCAAACCGGAUUAGAUACCCCCGUAGUCCCUGUCUCUUAUAC